AUUGAACGCUGGCGGCAGGCCUAACACAUGCAAGUCGAGCGGAUGAAGGGAGCUUGCUCCUGGAUUCAGCGGCGGACGGGUGAGUAAUGCCUAGGAAUCUGCCUGGUAGUGGGGGAUAACGUCCGGAAACGGGCGCUAACACCGCAUACGUCCUGAGGGAGAAAGUGGGGGAUCUUCGGACCUCACGCUAUCAGAUGAGCCUAGGUCGGAUUAGCUAGUUGGUGGGGUAAAGGCCUACCAAGGCGACGAUCCGUAACUGGUCUGAGAGGAUGAUCAGUCACACUGGAACUGAGACACGGUCCAGACUCCUACGGGAGGCAGCAGUGGGGAAUAUUGGACAAUGGGCGAAAGCCUGAUCCAGCCAUGCCGCGUGUGUGAAGAAGGUCUUCGGAUUGUAAAGCACUUUAAGUUGGGAGGAAGGGAAGUAAGUUAAUACCUUGCUGUUUUGACGUUACCAACAGAAUAAGCACCGGCUAACUUCGUG
This 484-nucleotide ribosomal RNA is filed under the name uncultured bacterium. Its description in RNAcentral is "partial 16S ribosomal RNA". It matches the Rfam family "Bacterial small subunit ribosomal RNA", at positions 30 to 507 of the family's 1533-position model. The record is from RNAcentral.